CCAGACACAGUGAGAUGACACCCAUCAACUCUGAUGGUCUUUACAGAACUGUGAUAAGGACAAGCUCCCGCAACGGCGGACUCUGGACCUGGCUCGGGACGGGCACCGCGAAGUGGAGCUACGGAUGGGACCUUUGGUCCCGAGGGUGGCACCACGGGAAAGGUCGUGGGCUCAGGUACGACCCAGGGAGCUCACCCUUGGGGGAGAUGUCCUGUCCGCCCCAUAGCUUCUAACCCGAGGUGCGGUACGAGUCCAAACCCGAUCACCUAAGACCAAGAGUUGGCCGCACAUCCUCGCAGACGAGGAGCGUCUGAGGCAUCUGCGCUUUAAAAACGGUUCCCGGAGGAAACUGCCGCUUGUUUUUUCCGACAGCUGACUAACCGGUGCGGCUCUGAGCUCCGCUGCCGCGGGGGACGGCAAGAGGGUCCCCCGGGACACCUGAAGCGACGACAUGCGGGACAGAGCUUCAACGAUUAGCGUUUUCAGCGCGUCAACAUUUGAGACGAGAGGCUCAGCGCGCUCGCCGCGGGGGUCGCGCUGACUUCCGGUACCUUCAGACACCAAGGACACCUGUCAGCUGCGAACUGCGCAGUCUGCAGCCUCGGGAACUUCACCGCGACUCGCCGGGUUUAGAGCCUGGCCUACGCGGCGGGUUUGGGUUUGCGUGGCCGGCUAAUGUGACAAAUCCGGCCUCCGUCGCCGCAGUGGGACUUUCGGCCCGAAGCUCGACCCGGGCCGGGUCGUCUUUCGGCGGGGGUACCUGCGGCGUUUGGCCGUGAGAGGAGCUAGCGUUAGCCGGCUAACCUCGGCCCCGGCGCAGUACCUGUUUGUGCGCGUGACAUCCGCCGUCCGCCCGGGGGACGUCUCACCGGAUGGUUCCUCCGGAGCAGAGACGCGAAACCGACCGGACAAAGGGCCGACAGGCGGCUUCUUAACACGCCGACACCAGCCGACAUCUUCCCCGCCCGUUAGCGUCAAGCUACGGCCACCGCAACGACGCCUCCGGAACCCGCUUUUCAGAGUAAAAGUCGGGAGGCCUGAAGUUGUGGUAAAUCCGUGUGACGAGUUAGCAUCACACUGAGGUCGCAGAGCUAAACAUCAGUUUUUCUGCAGGAAAAUCUCUCAUUUGUCAUUUAAAGCAUUUAAGAGGUCGAACAGAGCAGAACACCUAGACCAAAACUAUUCCUACUGCUGCACAGUGUAAAAGAUUUUCGGUCUGUUUCCACAGUUUUGCCUCCUUUUUAUAAUCAACAUGAAGAUCGGAGCUGGAAAUGGCAAAGACAGGAACUGGCCUCAAACAGUGUUGUGCUUCUUUUUAUUUCUCUUUCGAUGUUUCUGUCCAUUAUUUCAUACACAGUAACAUAAGUGUGUAAUGUCCUGCAGUUCACACCACGACACAAUAAAGCAGCGAUGUUUUUCAGUAAA
Long non-coding RNA from Xiphias gladius (swordfish), 1425 nucleotides. RefSeq lists it as uncharacterized. Lineage: Eukaryota; Metazoa; Chordata; Actinopteri; Istiophoriformes; Xiphiidae. The transcript is spliced from 3 exons. The record is from RefSeq and is a predicted model, not a curated record.